CCGCUGAAAUUUAAACACCGAGGAGGGUCUGCGGGCGUUUCCGCUGUGCUCUCUUGGUGGUCCUUAGCAGUCUUUAGGGGGCUUGGGCUGUUGGUUGCCAAGGGCCCCUGAGUCGGAGUGUGAGUCAGCUGGUAGCAGUUAAAAAGAGUAAAGGAAGACGUGCUGCAGUAUUGAAGGCUACGCUAACCUGCUGUCCACAAAACUGGGUGAGGACAUGGGAAGAAAGACGAAAAGGAAACUGACCUACCAGUGUGUACCAGGUACCCUGUCCUGGAGAGGUGGUGACAAAUACAUCCCAAGGGAAAGACAAAAGAGUCCUGUUGAAGUCCUGUUGAAGAGUCCAACGUUCUCGUGAAGUAACAAGCAAAUACUGACCACCUACUACGCACUAGUGUGUAGUAGGCACAAUGCUAGUUGUUGAGAUACAGGGAUUGCAUUCAUCAUCACAACCUCUCACACCUGAAUUCAACCUGUAUUCUUAUGGACUGCUUAGCGUUUGGCUGGAAGGCAUAAAUUUCUAAGUAAGGU
Molecule: long non-coding RNA, 528 nt
Organism: Aethalodelphis obliquidens (Pacific white-sided dolphin)
Lineage: Eukaryota; Metazoa; Chordata; Mammalia; Artiodactyla; Delphinidae
Exons: 5
Source: RefSeq, a predicted model, not a curated record